AUUGAACGCUGGCGGCAGGCCUAACACAUGCAAGUCGAGCGGAUGAAGGGAGCUUGCUCCUGGAUUCAGCGGCGGACGGGUGAGUAAUGCCUAGGAAUCUGCCUGGUAGUGGGGGAUAACGUCCGGAAACGGGCGCUAAUACCGCAUACGUCCUGAGGGAGAAAGUGGGGGAUCUUCGGACCUCACGCUAUCAGAUGAGCCUAGGUCGGAUUAGCUAGUUGGUGGGGUAAAGGCCUACCAAGGCGACGAUCCGUAACUGGUCUGAGAGGAUGAUCAGUCACACUGGAAGUGAGACACGGUCCAGACUCCUACGGGAGGCAGCAGUGGGGAAUAUUGGACAAUGGGCGAAAGCCUGAUCCAGCCAUGCCGCGUGUGUGAAGAAGGUCUUCGGAUUGUAAAGCACUUUAAGUUGGGAGGAAGGGCAGUAAGUUAAUACCUUGCUGUUUUGACGUUACCAGCAGAAUAAGCACCGGCUAACUUCGUG
This 484-nucleotide ribosomal RNA is filed under the name uncultured bacterium. RNAcentral describes it as "partial 16S ribosomal RNA". It matches the Rfam family "Bacterial small subunit ribosomal RNA", at positions 30 to 507 of the family's 1533-position model. The record is from RNAcentral.